UCCACACACUAGGCCCUACCACCGGCAAACAAACACAAUGCUGUUGCCAUGGCGAAGAGACUUGUUUCACUACAGCUUUCAGAGUUCUCAGCCAUCAUCUUAUGGAACAUGACAGAGCUCCUCACGACAUAAUCAUCUAACAACUGGGGUGCCUACCCACUGAUGGAACAAGCAGACAGUUAACCUCAAUUAGUAAACCCAAAUGGUUGGAGAGAGCUUUGAUGGAGGCUAGAGGGCCAACCAGCUUACCAUGUGGGAAGGAAGUGUGUCCAGAUAUUCAGCGUCUCAUUGGUCAGCUGGAAGAGGCUUAGGACGCAGUCAGUUGCUGAACUGCGAGGAUGGCGAUAGCCUGAAAUGAUGCUAUCCUCCUGGAAUGCCUUUGUAACACAGGGACACAUUUUAUGUAGGCCUACACACUUUAAUCAAGUCCAUGUCUAACCUAAACUAUCUGUUACAGACAAAAACAAAUAAAUCAAUAAAUGCUGAAUUAUAAUCUUCAAAAACA
Molecule: long non-coding RNA, 505 nt
Organism: Alosa sapidissima (American shad)
Lineage: Eukaryota; Metazoa; Chordata; Actinopteri; Clupeiformes; Clupeidae
Exons: 2
Source: RefSeq, a predicted model, not a curated record